UUUGCAAGAUGAUGAAUUGAAGCUAAUUAGUCUCUCUGUCACACCUUUCUCUCAAGUUUCUCACUAAAGAACACAAUUUCAAACAGAUUUUGUUGGAGUAGGUUUUAUCAGUUUUCCCAAUCUUUGUUCGAGUUCGUGAUUCUGCCCGAAAUUCUCAUCCGUUGUUAGUGUUCAAGUUUCUUGGUGAAGAUCGUUUCCCUGCUCGUCCCGUUCCAGUUCACUGCCUGAAGAAAGACCUCACUCGAAGAGCUGAUGGACGGAAGCUGAAGAACUUAUUUCAUCAA
Long non-coding RNA from Solanum pennellii, 284 nucleotides. RefSeq lists it as uncharacterized. The record is from RefSeq and is a predicted model, not a curated record. Lineage: Eukaryota; Viridiplantae; Streptophyta; Magnoliopsida; Solanales; Solanaceae. The transcript is spliced from 3 exons.